GACGAACGCUGGCGGCGUGCUUAACACAUGCAAGUCGAACGGAAAGGCCCCUUUGGGGGUACUCGAGUGGCGAACGGGUGAGUAACACGUGAGUAACCUGCCCUUGACUUCGGGAUAACUUCAGGAAACUGGGGCUAAUACCGGAUAGGAAUCCUUGCUGCAUGGUGGGGGUUGGAAAGCUUCGGCGGGUUUGGAUGGACUCGCGGCUUAUCAGCUUGUUGGUGGGGUAGUGGCUUACCAAGGCUUUGACGGGUAGCCGGCCUGAGAGGGCGACCGGCCACAUUGGGACUGAGAGACGGCCCAGACUCCGACGGGAGGCAGCAGUGGGGAAUAUUGCACAAUGGGCGGAAGCCUGAUGCAGCAACGCCGCGUGCGGGAUGACGGCCUUCGGGUUGGAAACCGCUUUCAGCAGGGGCGAAGCUUGUGGUGACGGUACCUGCAGAAGAAGCACCGGCUAACUACGUG
This 465-nucleotide ribosomal RNA is filed under the name uncultured bacterium. Its description in RNAcentral is "partial 16S ribosomal RNA". It matches the Rfam family "Bacterial small subunit ribosomal RNA", at positions 28 to 507 of the family's 1533-position model. The record is from RNAcentral.